AGCUCCAAUAGCGUAUACUAAUGUUGUUGCAGUUAAAAAGCUCGUAGUCGGAUUUCAGUUUGUUUACGCUUAAUCUUUUAGGUUUUUGCGUUAGCUUACUUCAUGCAAGAAACUUUCAUGCCAUUUGUUUGGUUUGUUUUGGGACUUGCUCUUUUACUUUGAGAAAAUUAGAGUGUUCAAAGCAGGUAUUUGCCUGAAUAUUACUCUUGGAAUAAUAAUAUAGGACUUCAGUUCUAGUUUGUUGGUGAUCUGGAACCGGGGUAAUGAUUGAUAGGGACAGUUGGGGUCAUUCAUACUGCAAAGCGAGAGGUGGAAUUCUUGGACCUUUGUAUGAUGAACAACAGCGAAAGCAUUUGACUAGGAUGUUCCCG
Molecule: ribosomal RNA, 371 nt
Filed under: uncultured eukaryote
Lineage: Eukaryota
Description: SSU rRNA
Rfam family: Eukaryotic small subunit ribosomal RNA
Source: RNAcentral